CCCCUUCGGGGGAUAGAGUGACAGGUGGUGCAUGGUUGUCGUCAGCUCGUGUCGUGAGAUGUUGGGUUAAGUCCCGCAACGAGCGCAACCCUUGUCCUUAGUUGCCAGCAUUAGGUUGGGCACUCUAAGGAGACUGCCGGUGACAAACCGGAGGAAGGUGGGGAUGACGUCAAAUCAUCAUGCCCCUUAUGACCUGGGCUACACACGUGCUACAAUGGAUGGUACAAAGGGCUGCGAGACCGCGAGGUUUAGCCAAUCCCAUAAAACCAUUCUCAGUUCGGAUUGUAGGCUGCAACUCGCCUACAUGAAGCCGGAAUCGCUAGUAAUCGUGGAUCAGCAUGCCACGGUGAAUACGUUCCCGGGUCUUGUACACACCGCCCGUCACACCAUGGGAGUUGGCAACACCCGAAGUCGGUGAGGUAACUCGCAAGAGAGCCAGCCGCCUAAGGUGGGGUCGAUGACUGGGGUG
Molecule: ribosomal RNA, 469 nt
Filed under: uncultured Gram-positive bacterium
Lineage: Bacteria
Description: bacterial SSU rRNA
Rfam family: Bacterial small subunit ribosomal RNA
Source: RNAcentral